This 161-nucleotide ribosomal RNA is filed under the name Spirochaeta aurantia. RNAcentral's name for it is "partial 16S ribosomal RNA". It matches the Rfam family "Bacterial small subunit ribosomal RNA", at positions 1383 to 1533 of the family's 1533-position model. The record is from RNAcentral. Lineage: Bacteria; Pseudomonadati; Spirochaetota; Spirochaetia; Spirochaetales; Spirochaetaceae.
GUACACACCGCCCGUCACACCACCCGAGUUGGGGAUACCCGAAGCCGCUAGACUAACCUGCAAGGGGGGUCGGCGUCUAAGGAAUGCCUGGUGAGGGGGGUGAAGUCGUAACAAGGUAGCCGUACCGGAAGGUGCGGCUGGAUCACCUCCUUUCUACGAGA